AUACGGAGGGUCCGAGCGUUAUCCGGAAUCAUUGGGUUUAAAGGGUCCGUAGGCGGGCAGCUCAGUCAGUGGUGAAAGUUUGCAGCUCAACUGUAAAAUUGCCAUUGAUACUGGUUGUCUUGAAUUAAUGUGAAGUGGUUAGAAUAAGUAGUGUAGCAGUGAAAUGCAUAGAUAUUACUUGGAAUACCAAUUGCGAAGGCAGAUCACUAACAUUAUAUUGACGCUGAUGGACGAAAGCGUGGGGAGCGAACAGGAUUAGAAACCCUAGUAGUCC
This 274-nucleotide ribosomal RNA is filed under the name uncultured bacterium. RNAcentral's name for it is "partial 16S ribosomal RNA". It matches the Rfam family "Bacterial small subunit ribosomal RNA", at positions 523 to 796 of the family's 1533-position model. The record is from RNAcentral.